Molecule: ribosomal RNA, 466 nt
Filed under: uncultured bacterium
Lineage: Bacteria
Description: partial 16S ribosomal RNA
Rfam family: Bacterial small subunit ribosomal RNA
Source: RNAcentral
GACGAACGCUGGCGGCGUGCUUAACACAUGCAAGUCGAACGAUGAAGCCUAGCUUGCUGGGUGGAUUAGUGGCGAACGGGUGAGUAACACCUGAGUAAACUGCCCCUUACUCUGGGAUAAGCGCUGUAAACGGCGUCUACUACUCGCUAUUACCUUUCAUCGCAUGGUGUUUGGUGGAAAGAUUUUUCGGGUUGGGAUGGACGCGCGGCCUAUCAGCUUGAUGGUGAGGUAGUGGAUCACCAUGGCGACGACGGGUAGCCGGCCGGGGAGGGGUACCGGCCACACUGGGACUGAGACACGACCCAGACUCCUACGGGAGGCAGCAGUGGAGAAUAUUAGACGAUGGGCGCAAGCCUGAUGCAGCAACGCCGCGUGGGGGAUGACGGCCUUCGUGUUGUAAACGUCUUUUAGUAGGGAAGAAGCGUAAGUGACGGUACCUACAGAAAAAGCACCGGCUAACUACGUG